Bos taurus (domestic cattle) is the source of this 3317-nucleotide long non-coding RNA. The record is from Ensembl. Lineage: Eukaryota; Metazoa; Chordata; Mammalia; Artiodactyla; Bovidae.
GGCAGAAGCUGAGCGCUGGCUUCUGGUCAUACAGCUACUUAGUGACAGAGAGAAGGACUAGCCACGAGAUUUUCGACUCUUCUUUUCCUGUUCCGCUGGGUUGCUGAGUAGGGGCACACAGUGGACUGAGGCAUCUCCUGGCAGGUUUGGAGAUGCCUCGGACAAGACAGGUGUGAUUUGGGGCGGAGGGGUGAGCAGGAGGGAGGCAGAAGCUCUGGGUACAAGCAUCCCAGUCCAGUGGUGGAGACUUAAGAAAAACCCGGCACUGUGUCCUUAUGGACCUGGCUUUCCAGACAGUGCCUAGAAGGUGGAAGGACCCUGGGAGGAAGGAAAGCUCAGCCAGGACCGGGAAGAAACCAGCAUCCCUGGGGCGCGUUCCUGGAAACGUCUCUUACUGCAGCAAGAUCUCUUACUAGAAGGCGCAGACUGGAACCCUCUCCAGCUUCGCUGACAGAAAAAAGGAAGUGGAGCAAACACCUACAAAACAGACAGGAAAAAGGAAGUGGAGCAAACACCUACAAAACACCUUCAGGACUGGCAGUUCCAAGCCUCAGCUAGCAGCCUAUAAAUUUACCACCUUCACUAUCAAGAUAAGAAGACCUUGUCUCAGAGUGCUUAAGUGAUGUGAUCAGCUACAUAGCUUAUAGGUGUUAAAACAAACUGGCUCCGGGAUCCACACACACUCUCACCUACUGGGCUAGACACCUUCAAUGACCCUCUGUUUGAUGCUGAAAGUACAACUUAGAGAGAUUAAGUGACUUGACCAGGCUACACAGCUGACAAAAAAAGCUGAGACUUCAGCCCUGGAUCCUUCAUGCUAAGCUCUUGGCAACAAUGCAAACCCAAAAGUGUUGGGUCUUCAGGGAGGACCAACCAUAAUGAUGCCUUCUUACUGCUCAUUCUUGAUUUGCACGUGACUCUGCUCCACUCAUGAACCCCUGUUUUGCCACUAGGUUCAGCUGUGGUUGAUUUUCAGAACCCACAGGGACGAAAAAAAAAACCAUAUUCCUAUUUGUUGCAAUUGUUCUUGGGGCUUCCCAGGUAAUGUAGUGGUAAAGAACCCGUCUGCCAAUGCAGGAAAUGCAAGAGAUGUAGGUUCAAUCCCUGGAUCCGGAAGAUACCCUGGGAAAUGGCAACCCACUCCAGUAUUCUUGCCUGGAAAAUUCCAUGAACAGAGGAGCCUGAUGGGCUACGGUCCAUGGGGUCAUGAAGAGUCAGACACAGAUGAGCACGCACGCACAGCACAGUGGUUUUUAGUAACGGCAACUCUUAGAAUCACCCGGGGUUCUUUAUAAUCUGUUGAUGCCAAGGCUCCACCUUAGACCAGAAUAUCUGAGGUGGGGGACAAGGACACCAGUAUUUCAUAAGAACUAUCCAGGUGAAUUUAAUGUGCAGUCAGGGCAGAGAACUACUGAUUUAACCAACCCCAAACACAGAGGGGACACAGAGGAUGCUGAAAAACAUCUUUACUUUUUCCAUUAGCUUGCCUUUCUCCCAGGCAAACUCUGCCCUAAAUGGAUGCCUUGGGGUCUCUUACUCCUAAUUUGGACUUCCCUGGUGGCAGAGUGGAUAGGAAUCCACCUGCCACUGCAGGGGACACAGGUUCGAUCUCUGGUCUGGGAAGAUUCCAAAGCCAUGAAGCAACUAAGCCCACAUUCCACAACGACUGAAGCCUGUGUGUCUAGAGCCUAUGCUCCACAACAAGAGAAGCACUGCAGUGAGGAGCCCACGUGCCGUAGCCAAGAGCAGCCCCUGCUCGCCACAGCUAGAGAAAGCCCACACACAGCAACGAAGACCCGGCACAACCAAAAAUAAAUAGAAUUAUUUUUAAAAGUAGAAGAGAUUCUUACUCCUAGCUUGUAUCUUUGGUUUCUUCUCUAACCCACCCCACCUCAUCAUUUCUCCCCAGAGUUCCUGGCUCCAUCCUUGGAGGCUAAAGUGGAUCCUCACAGAAGAUGAGUUCAUCUUUUAGACUCUUCGGUGUGAAGCAGCUGUGAGACAGAAAAGUCCUUCUCUUGCUAGUCUUGACAGAUGAGGAAGGGCAAGGAUGAGGAGGGUAAAAGAGGCAGACACGACCGUCCUGCUAUAAUUAUAGCUGAGAAGUACUGUGACAGGAAGGUGGAUAACAUCGUGAGCAGGACAGCAGGAGCACUUGCGGGUAGAUCUCUUCUUGGUUCAUAUUUCUACCUUUAAACCAGACUGUGAUACCGAGUCACGCAUCACAACUUGGGGGACACUAUCUAAGUCACUGAAAACUCCACCAGCUCCUCUCCUCUGCCCCAUCUGGUCACAUGUUCUUCACCGCAUGUCGAUGCUGGUUCUUCCCCAGACAUGGAGACCUUCCCAUACUCUCUACAAAAAGCUGUCAUCUGGGCGGAAAGUUUUAGAACACACUCAUCUUUAAGAAUGGACUUCCCUAGCGGCUCAGACAGUGAAGUAUCUGCCUACAAUGCAGGAUCCCUGGGUUUGAUCCCUGGGCUGGGAAGAUCCCCUGGAGAAGGAAAUGGCAACCCACUCCAGUACUCUUGCCUGGAAAAUUCCAUGGAUGGAGGAGGCUGGUGGGCUACAGUCCAUGGGAUCACAAAGAGUUGGACAUGACUGAGCGACUUCACAUCUUUAAGACAGAGUAGGUAAGAAUGACACCACCAGGGUGGGACCUUUUGGGAGAAAUGUAGAAAAUAACUCAGUGUGCAUUUUCUAAGCUUUUACUUAGGGUCAGGAACUAUGAUGGAAGGAAGACUCUGGACCUAUGGCCCUGAAUAUAUCCCACAGAGCAGGGAUACUCAAAUACUCUCUUGGGGGCUGCCAGUUAUCCAGAAGGGUCUUCCAGACAGGCUAAUCCUCUGAAGUAGCAAGGAUGGCGAAAUGAGAGUACCUGCACUUCUGUUUCUGAAAUGGCUAAUGACACGGCACUUCAAGGGAAUCAGUGCCUUUCUUCCAAUUUGUCCUCCUAAACUCCUUUAGCAGCCACUGGAAAUUUGGAUAAAGUAGACAGAUGGCACGUAUACUCUCCUGUCAAAUACAGUAGUGUGAACCCUGAAGAAGUUGGAGAGACCUUUAUGCAUUAUAUCCUCAGGGCAGGGCCUUCACAGGUCCUCAGGAAAACUACAGUGCUUUCUGCCACAUUAACAGCCUCUCACUUCCAAUCCUUCAAGAGGGAGAGCUGGAGAAGAUGCAGGACUGACCUUGGACAACGUGAGGAAGUCACGAGGUUAAAUAAGAAACAUUCAUACUGUGAUUGUUUGUAGAGAGGCUUCUAAGCGUCAAAACAACUCUCUGAGGCCAUUAUACCCAUUGUACAGAUCACAAAGGCAGGC